CUCAGAAUUGUUUUUUUCGUUAGCAAUGAUUAAUUGCUUACAGAUGUACAUUAAAUUGCCGUCUGUAUCCCACAUUCUCAACUUUCCACCUAAGACAGUGGCUGCACUCGUCCCCAAUAUCCUAGAACAGCUUUUUUCUUAUUCAUUUUUAUUAUCAAACGUAUCUCUCGAAAGCGUAUACGCGGAAACACGAGCUUCCGAAAACUUGACGUUCGAUUGUACGACAUUCGAACAUUCGAUUUCAAAACUGCUGGUGACACGUUCUUGUAUGAGUAUUAUUGUCACACAUAUUCAAAUAUCGUUUUAUCAUCGAUAAAAUAACACUAGUUGAGGUAACGAAUAGCGUGUUAACAUGUUCCUGUGGAGUUUUCUGGAGUAAACCAACUUGUGAGAUAAAAGUAUAG
Cinara cedri is the source of this 404-nucleotide non-coding RNA. The record is from the annotation of a GenBank genome assembly. NCBI's taxonomy places the organism in Eukaryota, Metazoa, Arthropoda, Insecta, Hemiptera, Aphididae.